GGUGGUUCUCAGGUGACACACCCUGGAAUCGGGCUCCCUCCUCUCUGGUUCCGGGUGCGUCACCCAAGAACCCCA
This is a non-coding RNA of Myotis lucifugus (little brown bat), 75 nucleotides long. NCBI's taxonomy places the organism in Eukaryota, Metazoa, Chordata, Mammalia, Chiroptera, Vespertilionidae. The record is from Rfam.